Molecule: long non-coding RNA, 1989 nt
Filed under: Homo sapiens (human)
Lineage: Eukaryota; Metazoa; Chordata; Mammalia; Primates; Hominidae
Description: HSALNT0113308
Source: RNAcentral
ACUUGGAUCCCUAAUGCUGUCAGCAAGGAUUUAUCUUUCAGGAAUAGGGUUGCCAGGUAAAACACAGGACAAGACUCCCAGUUAAAUGUGAAGUUCAGAUACACAACAAAUAAUUUUUUAGUAUAAGUAUGUCUUAAAUAUUGAAUGGGACAUACUUACACUUUUUAAAAAAAAUGUUUAUCUGGGCUGGGAGCAGUGGCUCCCACCUGUAAUCCCAGCACUUUGGGAGGCCGAGGCAGGCGGAUCACUUGAGGUCAGGAGUUCGAGACCAGCCUGGCCAACAUGGGGAAACCCCAUCUGUACCAAAAAUAUAAAAAAUUAGCUGGGAGUGGUGGCAUGAACCUGUAAUCCCAGCUACUCGGGAGGCUGAGGCAGGAGAAUUGCUUGAACCCGGGAGGCAGAGGUUGCAGUGAGCGGAAAUCAUGCCACUGCACUCCAGCCUUGGCAACAGAAAGAGACUCUCUCAAAAAAAACAAAGUUUAUCUGAACUUCAAAUUUACCUGGAGAUCCUGUAUUUUUAUUUCCUAAAUUAGGCAACUGAUUCAAGAAGGAAAUUAGAAGAAUCUUGAAACCUGGGAGACCUGACCAUCCCAAGAGGAAGUCUCCAAAGACACUUACCUCCGAUUUCCCCGCAGCAAAAGGUCCAGCUAGAUCAUUCUAUCAUGAAGCUCAAAAUUGGCAAGUGUUACUCACAUGGUCAGAAUUUUCUAUGAGUUUUUGGUAAUCCCCAAGAGUUACCAGACAUGUGAGAAAAACUUAUUGCAUGAAAAAGCAAAUAAAAAAGCAGAUAAAAGCAACUUGAAGGAAGCAGGGGGGAGGAGCUUCAAUAAAAAAUUUCCUAAAUAGCCUCAGAGAGAGAAGAAAAAAUAAUACAUGCACAAAACAACAAUAAGUGUUGAAACUCCGAAGACAAGAAAAAAGAGUUCUUGGAAAUUAAGAACAUGUUAACAAAAAUAAAAGAUUCAGUACAAGAUUUGGAAGAUCAAGAGGAGGAAAUCUCUCAGAAAGUAGAGGAGAAAAAUAAAGUAGUAAAAAAUAGCAGAGAAAAUGUCGGAAAAUUAGAGCCCUAAUCCAAGAGGCAGAAGAUCCCAAUAAUAAGAGUUUCAGAAAAAGAGAAAAGAAAAUAGAAAGGAAGAAAUUCUGCAUGCAUUCUGGGGAAGGUGUGGAAUGAGGAAUACACAUACAAAGAAUCAGGAAUCAGAAGAACUUCAGAAUUCUCAAUAGCAACGUAAGAUGGGAGGAUAUAAAUACAUUCACAAUCCUGAAGAAAAGUCAUAACCACCUUUGAAUUCCAUGCCCAGGGAAAUACUUAACUAAAUUUAAGAGGAAAGGCAGUUUCAGACCAGUGAGUCUCAAAAAUCUUGCAUCCCGAUCACUCUCUUUCCGGAAACUGUUAACAACAAGAAAGAGGGCACAAGCCCAAAACAAGGAAGACGGGGAACAGAAAACAGGAAAUCCACACAGGGAAGUGGUAAAGAAAAAUCUUCACCAUGAGGAUAAAGGGAGAUUCCAGGAUGACUCCUAUCGUAUACAAGGCAUGGAGAGCAGCCAGUUCAGAUUAGAGCAAUGUGACUAGACAGCGUUGACUACAACAGAACAAAGGAGCAAAUAAAGGUAGAAGGAGAAAAACAGAGAACCUAAAACAAGGAAAUAGCUAAGAGAGCAUUCCUAGGAUGACAGUAAAGGAAAUCUCAAUAUGACAACUGUGCAGAAUGACUAGAGGGAAACCAGUGCAGAGAAAGGUUAUUAUUUUUAGCUCAAGAUAAACUUAUGAAAAUGAUAUUGUGGAAAAAUUAUUCUGAGAUGCUGUUGGAAGAUAUGGGGUUUUAACAAAAAGUCAAAGAAAAUUAACGAAAUUUAAAAAAAUAAGGCAAUUAAUAACUUUAGGAAAAACAAAGAAAAACUAUAAAAGCAAAACUCUGAGUGAUGUUUGCAAUGACAUACUGAUAUAAACAAAAUUAUGCAUAUUUGCUAUAAAAUGCUUGGAAA